CAUGAAGAUAGCUCUGAGUCUCUAGAAAAUCCUUUUUGUGAUAGACCUCUUUGAAAAGUAAAACUUUAGUCAAGGAACACCAGGGCUUUUAACGAACUGACUGAGGCAGAGGCUGAGCCAGGCCUAGAGGAGGCUCGUGGGCGGGAAGAGAGGAGAACGCCCUUGAGGUGGGAAAGGAAGCCAACGCUUACACGAGCCUGGCUUUGUUUGUGAACAGAAUGAGGGAGCAGUGAACUCCGUGUUGAACAGAUACAGUAGUUGAAGCUUAUGAUUUAAUGGGAGAGAUAAGACGUAACUGUAAAAAGAUGACUGUCACUUGUUAAUCCAACACGUAUUCAUGGGAUGCUAAGUCUGUGCCAAAGUGGGCAAGGCACUUGGGAUAAAGCAGUGAAGAGCCAGAAACUCUGCCUGACUUCACAGAGCUUCAAGUCUGGCAGGGGAGACGGACGUAAUCAAUGGUCCCACAAAUCGCUGGGACAAGGGCGAGGUGACUGAGGCACUUGCCUUGGGUGCAUACUUUAAAAGGGGGCACCAAAAAACUCUAUCAAUGCAAUGUUUAAAAAAAAUCAAAAUUAAUGCAAAAAUCUAUGAUGAAUAAAAUAUCAAACUUUUAUAUAAAGACAGGAUUGGUAUUACUGGUUUUUCAUUUUGUUCUUGGCUCCACAUGGCAUAUAAUUUUACCAGAAGAAUUAAAAGAUGUUAAGAAUGUAUCUAGCAGGGGGAGCUGAUAUAAACUUGUGUGGGCGGGAUAAUCCUUGGGAGAUUAUCCCUGAAGCAAUAACGUCUAAACUGGGACCGGAAGCAUGGGAAGAAGCUGGGAGAAGAGGAGGAGGGGUAAGCAACAGAAUGGGCAAAGCCCAGAGGCAGGGGAGAGCUUUGCACUUUUGAAGGAACUGCAAGAUGGCCCCUGUGUCUAGACCCACGCUUCUCAAACUUAGCGCCUAUUAGAAUUACCUGGAAAGCUUUUAGGUCUCAAUAGGCAGGCCUUGCCCCAGACCAAGUAAAUAAAAACCUCUAGGGAUGGGGCCAAGAUAGGUGGUUUUUAAACCUUCCGCAGCAGUUUUAAUGUGCAGGCUGGGUGGGCACCUGGUGGAAAAUGAACGAUGUGGUGGAUGAGGGAGAAGUUGCGGGAGACUUGACUGAAGGCUUGGAGGCCGCGGUAAUUAUUUUGGGCUUUCUCCAAAGAGCAUUGGGAAGUUAUUUGAAGGGCUUUAAGCAGGAAAAUGACGUGAUCUGACUCUUUUUUUUUUUUCAAGAUUGCUUUGGCUGCUGUGAUGAGAAUGGACUGCAAGAGAUGGAUGCAGCAGGAAGAGUUAGAAAGUGAUGGAAACAUCCAGCAGCUUUGGAAGAUGUUUAAACUUUAUCCUCCCUCUGCAUCAUUUUACAAACGAAGAAGCUGACGCUCAGGAAAGUUCAGUCACUUGUCCACUGUCACGCAGCUGAGAGCUGGCGGAGCUGCAAUGAGACGUCAGUCUGCUGAUUCCCAGUUCGUAGUCCCAACCAUGUGAUUUACUCGUAGGAAGUCACUAAGGAUAUUUUGGGAACAAUUUCAAUGCUUAUGAAAGAAGUGGGGAAAAAAAAUCCCCAAACAACAAACAGGAUACAAAUUGUAUCUCUAACAUGAGACUAACCCUGAUAAAACAAUGCACGGAACGAGGGGCAUUCACAAAAAUAUGAGCAGUGCUCUUUGGAGAGGGGAGACAGCAAGCUGAAUCCACCCUUUGAAAGCAAAUGGCAACUGCUCAGCCCCUGAAGAGAAGCUGCGGCCCAAACCUGCCUGGAAAUGAAGCCACCAAGACAGAGUGCCUGCGGCUCCCACCCGCUGACAUCCAUCCUGGGCUAUCACUUCUCCUGUCUGUGCCCUGAAUGUGGAGCCCCUGAGCAGGGAUGAAUGUUUCACGUCCCUGCCCUGGAGAUGGGUUUUUGUCUUCCUUUGUUCUUACAUUGUGAGGAGGAGGAGAUCGAUUGCCGUGUCUCAGAUGUCAUGGUUCCAGGAUUCUGGGGCAAGGUGCUUGCGGAAAACCCAGGGUCGGCUGACAUGAUGGCAAAGGGCCCCCUAGCUCUCACAUCUUAGGAAUGAGAAUGAUCUGUCCCCCUCGCAGUGUCUCCCUUGGGUGGGACCUGUGCAGGGGGUCUGAACCUCGAAAGGUAUGUAAACUGUGAGGGGCCUGAGUGAACUCACAAAAGGUGCCUGGACUGUGGAGGAAGCCCGGAGGUGAGGGCGCAGGGCUGCCAAACUCAGAGCACGUUAAUAGUGUGGGGCAUCCUGUAUUACCUGAACUAGGAAAGUGACUUUUUUGGAGAAAUCUUGAAAGAAAAUUAUUUUUUUAAAACAGGAAAGGGCCUUUUGUACUGAGAAUUAAUUAUUCUUCUUUUGGAGCUUUGUGUUUUUCUUGAAAAAAAAGAAAAAAAAAGACAAGUUGCCGUCAUUCCCUACUCCCCCUCACCCCGCCAGGACAACGAUGCUGUUACAAAGAUUAAGGAGAAAAGUGUGAGUAAUUUUGUCCACUUUAUCUUAUGACAUGUUUAAUGAGGAUUUUAAAAAAUGAUUUAGGGAAAAUGCUUUUGAUCCUGUGACUGCAAAGAAGGCAGCACAACACAUUCCUCAAUCCAGGCAGGAGAAAUGAUUUCAGGUCUGAAAGAAACAAUGCACGAGAGAGCGCGUUAACCCUGAGUGAGACCUUGCAAACGCCACCUGAGCAGAGAUGUCCCCCUCUGGAGAGCCUCCUCACCAGGCAGUCCUCCUGGGGUUCAGAUCCCCAAAAACCCUGGAAUCUAAUCUCGUGUGGUCCCCACUGGUGGCACUUUAAAAAAAAACAAAUUUCUUUUCACAAGGAAGCCACUGUGAGCAUCAGGUUGUGGAAUUUAUGAAGAGAGUAUUUUGUUUCUUUUUUUUUUGCCUCCUCGGAAAAGUCAUUCUGAAUCGUUAGAUAUUGGCUCUGGGAGAUACCAUGACUCUUUGCAAACAUCACAGGGGCCCCAGGAUGGUGAGUUCAGGGGGUUACUGUGCUGCGGGCCUGGCUGAAUUGACUCAGAGCAGGCUCAAGGGAGGAAAGAAAGGGGUGAGGGUUUGCAAGCAUAGGUUUGUGUGCAUGGACGUGCUCACGCUAGUGGGCACGUGUGGGCUUAACAGUACCGCCCCAUUAAUGUGGUGCCCCAUGUCACGAGACUGACUGCUUGCCUCAAUGGGUAGUUGCCCCUUCUGCUAGGGAGAGAGAUCGAGGAGUGUGUGAGUGUGUGUGUGUGUGUGUGAAGGCCAAGGGGUAUUGUGUUGCAUGUGUGUGUGUGAGGGUAAGGAGUAUGUGUGUGUGAGAUGAAGUGAGUGUCUGAGUGUGUAAGGAGAGGCAUGUGUGAGUAUGUGAGGGGGAAGGAGUGUGUGUGUGUGCUGAGUAAGGAGAAGUGUUUGUAUGCGCGUAUGUGAAGGCCAAGGAAUGUUGUCUUGUGUGUGAAGAGUAAGGAGUGAGUGCAUGUGUGUCAGUUCGUGUGAGGGGUGAGGAGGGUUGUGUGUGUGUGUGAGUGUGUAAGAGGGAAGGAGUAUGUGUAUGUGUGUGUGAGGAGUAAGGAGAAGUGUUUGUGUGUGCAAGUGGAGGCCAAGGAAUGUUGUUUUGUGUGUGAAGAGCGAGGAGUUAGUGUGUGUGAGUGUGAGGGGUAAGGAGAGGUGAGGUGUAUGUGUGUG
This is a non-coding RNA of Equus caballus (horse), 3676 nucleotides long. NCBI's taxonomy places the organism in Eukaryota, Metazoa, Chordata, Mammalia, Perissodactyla, Equidae. The record is from RefSeq and is a predicted model, not a curated record.